CCUACGGGUGGCAGCAGUGAGGAAUAUUGGUCAAUGGCCGAGAGUCUGAACCAGCCAAGUAGCGUGAAGGAUGACUGCCCUAUGGGUUGUAAACUUCUUUUAUCUGGGAAUACAACGCUCCACGUGUCGGAUUUUGUAUGUACCAUAUGAAUAAGGAUCGGCUAACUCCGUGCCAGCAGCCGCGGUAAUACGGAGGAUCCGAGCGUUAUCCGGAUUUAUUGGGUUUAAAGGGAGCGUAGGUGGAUUGUUAAGUCAGUUGUGAAAGUGUGCGGCUAAACCGUAAAAUUGCAGUUGAAACUGGCAGUCUUGAGUACAGUAGAGGUGGGCGGAAUUCGUGGUGUAGCGGGGAAAUGCUUAGAUAUCACGAAGAACUCCGAUUGCGAAGGCAGGUCACUGGACUGCAACUGACACUGAGGCUCGAAAGUGUGGGUAUCAAACAGGAUUAGAUACCCGAGUAGUC
Molecule: ribosomal RNA, 460 nt
Filed under: uncultured bacterium
Lineage: Bacteria
Description: partial 16S ribosomal RNA
Rfam family: Bacterial small subunit ribosomal RNA
Source: RNAcentral